UGUCGAGUGAUGAUAACAUUUCCACCUGCCAGUAUCUGUUGAAAUGGUCGAAUAGAUUACACGGUGUGCCUUGUGCUGCUGCCUUUUGUAGCACCAAGAAUGUUUGAACAAGAAGUACUGACGUGUUUUGCAUCCUUCGUUUGUGUUUCUUCUUCUUCUUUUCUCUUUUAUCUCAUUAUAUCUUUUCUUUUCAGGUGGAAGUUUGCAUGUUCUAAGAAAAUGGAAUUGCAUUUCUUGGUUUUCGUGUCUCAACAAAUUCAGUGCUGCUAUUGGUUUGGAGUGGAUUCCGGGUUGGACGCAUGAAAAGGUCUGUUUUUUUGGACCUUUUUUUUUAAUCCACGGUUCGGAUGGUUAGAUGAUGUAAAACGUUUGGCAAAUGUUGACACGGAUUGGACUCGAGCAAGAUCUGAUCUGCUACUAGGAGAGAGACGGAGAGUACCACUAACUACAUCCUUGAAACAAGUCAAUGGUAAUUGGGACAUAUUGGUUUGGAACUUUGGAUAUGCUUAUAUGCUUUCUAGAAGGAAAGUUGAUUUUACAAUUGAGAGAUCGGAUAAUCGAGGGGAAAAGUGCCUUGUACGGAAGGCUCUUGGCUGCGGUGGCUAAGUUACGUGGUGCUGCACGUUAUAAUUGCUUUUCGUCGCUGGCCCAAUCAAAUUGACAAAGCAACGUGGAAGAUACUCGCUAGCCGCCUUGGCUGGAAUGGUGCGACUUAAUUCAGAGAUUUGGGAUAUAACAUACAGUAUGAUGUUACUUCUUUAGGUCUGUUUCACGACCUUUGCAGUAUUUGUACGUCUAAUAAAAGUAACAGUUGACAGGUUCUUCUCUACCACCACGGAUAUGAAUAUGGGGCAGGAGUGGUCAUCAGAUCAGAUGCACUGCUCUUGAGCUGGUCACUGUCAGGAUUUGAUUCAAAAAAAUUGUACAAUUCAGAUCAUUUCUUAUAUUUUAUUUUUAACGUCGUGUG
Molecule: long non-coding RNA, 967 nt
Organism: Coffea eugenioides
Lineage: Eukaryota; Viridiplantae; Streptophyta; Magnoliopsida; Gentianales; Rubiaceae
Exons: 3
Source: RefSeq, a predicted model, not a curated record